CCUUAUCCCUUUUUUUACACCCCAUUUAUUACAUGAGAAAAAAAUUUCUCAUAAAAUCACUCCAUGUAUAAUUUAAGCCAUGCCUCACGCCUUUAGUGGAUAAGGGAUGAGUUGGUGUCCAUUUGAAUUCAAAAUUUGAUUUAAAUUCAAAUGUGCAAUUACUCAUCUUUAUCCUUUCUUUUGGAUAAGACGUUUGACGUUGUUAUAAAAGGAG
RNAcentral lists this long non-coding RNA (214 nucleotides) under Elaeis guineensis (African oil palm). RNAcentral describes it as "long non-coding RNA (EGUI_LNC070424)". The record is from RNAcentral. Lineage: Eukaryota; Viridiplantae; Streptophyta; Magnoliopsida; Arecales; Arecaceae.